Molecule: non-coding RNA, 75 nt
Organism: Haemonchus placei
Lineage: Eukaryota; Metazoa; Nematoda; Chromadorea; Rhabditida; Trichostrongylidae
Source: Rfam
GGCCCAAAUUUGAAGUAGAGUAGAUUGGAAGGAUCAUCUGACCCUACUAAACUACUCUACUUCGAGCUUGUGCCC